Long non-coding RNA from Culex pipiens pallens (northern house mosquito), 551 nucleotides. RefSeq lists it as uncharacterized. The transcript is spliced from 2 exons. The record is from RefSeq and is a predicted model, not a curated record. NCBI's taxonomy places the organism in Eukaryota, Metazoa, Arthropoda, Insecta, Diptera, Culicidae.
AUAUGGCCCUAUUUUGGACCUACUAUGCAAAGCGUCAACACAUUUCGCAUGGUUCUCAGGAACGGUCUAACUAAUUUGGCUCGUUUCAGGAUUGUUUUGUGCCUUAAUUUAUGCUUAAUAAAGUGUACUAUUGAAAAUUGAAAUUAAUUUAACCAUUUCAUUGUAAUAAGCAUUUCAAGUAAAACAUUUUUUGGAUGCUUUUUGGACUUAUUGAAUGUAUUUUGGAGACAUCGCUGAACCUAUUUUGGACCCACACUCUGAUUGGUUGAAAUUUGGACAACUCGAAUUGCGGCGUGCGGCGGCAACACGCACACUUACAAAAAACUCGGUCUGAUAAACCAAAGGGCCUAUCCACGAUUAUAAUUUGGAAAAUAUUUAUUUCAGAAAUUAAAUAAUUAUGAUAAAACAAUGGAUUUGAAUUUGAAAACGUGUUUUAAUUAUAUUGAAUGGAAACUCACGCAUCUUUAGCAGCCUGAACUACCUCGAUUAAUAAAAAUAGGUCCAAAAUAGGUACUAGGUCCAAAAUAGGGUCAUAUACCCUAUUUCCAAAA